Molecule: transfer RNA, 66 nt
Filed under: Pelagomacellicephala iliffei
Lineage: Eukaryota; Metazoa; Annelida; Polychaeta; Phyllodocida; Polynoidae
Description: tRNA-Ile
Source: RNAcentral
AGUAUUACGCCGGUAUGAACGGAUAACUCUGAUGAUGUUAAUUAUAGGAACCUCUCCUUAAUACUC